Molecule: unclassified non-coding RNA, 213 nt
Filed under: uncultured Thelephoraceae
Lineage: Eukaryota; Fungi; Basidiomycota; Agaricomycetes; Thelephorales; Thelephoraceae
Description: sequence contains ITS2
Source: RNAcentral
AAUUCUCAACUGCCACGAGCUCUUGCAGCCCCGUGGUGAGGUUGGACUUUGGAGGUCAUUGCUGGCAUGUGGCUGUCGGCUCCUCUUGAAUGCAUGAGCUUUCCAAUCCUUGGCAAAGUAUCGACGGCGUGAUAGUCAUCUACGUCGUCUGAGAAAUGCGCAUGAGGGGAAAUCUAAGAUCACGCUGCCCUCCAGGGGUUCUGCGUCUGACCA